Molecule: non-coding RNA, 31 nt
Filed under: Rattus norvegicus (Norway rat)
Lineage: Eukaryota; Metazoa; Chordata; Mammalia; Rodentia; Muridae
Source: RNAcentral
UGAUAUCAGUUAAGAUGUGUCCGUUUGUAAU